CAUUAAGAAGCUUUUAUAGCACUAGCCUUUUAAGCUAGGGAGGGGGAUUAAGAUCCCCCUUAAUGAA
This 67-nucleotide transfer RNA is filed under the name Brachymeles samarensis. RNAcentral's name for it is "tRNA-Lys". It matches the Rfam family "tRNA". From Rfam's summary of the family: Transfer RNA (tRNA) molecules are approximately 80 nucleotides in length. Lineage: Eukaryota; Metazoa; Chordata; Lepidosauria; Squamata; Scincidae. The record is from RNAcentral.